UACGUAGGGUGCGAGCGUUGUCCGGAAUUAUUGGGCGUAAAGAGCUCGUAGGCGGUCUGUCGCGUCUGCUGUGAAAUCCCGGGGCUUAACCCCGGGCGUGCAGUGGAUACGGGCAGGCUGGAGGCAGGCAGGGGAGAACGGAAUUCCCGGUGUAGCGGUGAAAUGCGCAGAUAUCGGGAGGAACACCAGUGGCGAAGGCGAUCAUCUGGGAUUAACCUGACGCUGAGGAGCGAAAGCCAGGGGAGCAAACGGG
This 253-nucleotide ribosomal RNA is filed under the name uncultured bacterium. RNAcentral's name for it is "partial 16S ribosomal RNA". It matches the Rfam family "Bacterial small subunit ribosomal RNA", at positions 524 to 776 of the family's 1533-position model. The record is from RNAcentral.